This 30-nucleotide non-coding RNA is filed under the name Homo sapiens (human). Lineage: Eukaryota; Metazoa; Chordata; Mammalia; Primates; Hominidae. The record is from RNAcentral.
AGGCAGAUCCAAGAGGCUUCCUAAGUCAGA